UGGGGAAUAUUGCACAAUGGGCGCAAGCCUGAUGCAGCGACGCCGCGUGAGGGAUGACGGCCUUCGGGUUGUAAACCUCUUUCAGCAGGGAAGAAGCGCAAGUGACGGUACCUGCAGAAGAAGCGCCGGCUAACUACGUGCCAGCAGCCGCGGUAAUACGUAGGGCGCAAGCGUUGUCCGGAAUUAUUGGGCGUAAAGAGCUCGUAGGCGGUUUGUCGCGUCUGCUGUGAAAACGCGAGGCUCAACCUCGCGCCUGCAGUGGGUACGGGCAGACUAGAGUGCGGUAGGGGAGACUGGAAUUCCUGGUGUAGCGGUGGAAUGCGCAGAUAUCAGGAGGAACACCGGUGGCGAAGGCGGGUCUCUGGGCCGUAACUGACGCUGAGGGGCGAAAGCAUGGGGAGCGAACA
RNAcentral lists this ribosomal RNA (407 nucleotides) under uncultured bacterium. Its description in RNAcentral is "bacterial SSU rRNA". It matches the Rfam family "Bacterial small subunit ribosomal RNA", at positions 355 to 774 of the family's 1533-position model. The record is from RNAcentral.